UGGGGAAUAUUGGACAAUGGGGGCAACCCUGAUCCAGCAAUACCGCGUGUGUGAAGAAGGCCUUCGGGUUGUAAAGCACUUUAGGCAGAGAAGAAGGCAUGUAGUUUAAGAGAUGACAUGUUUGACUGUAUCUGCAGAAUAAGCACCGGCUAACUCUGUGCCAGCAGCCGCGGUAAUACAGAGGGUGCAAGCGUUAAUCGGAUUUACUGGGCGUAAAGGGCGCGUAGGUGGUUGCGUAAGUGAGAUGUGAAAUCCCCGGGCUUAACCUGGGACGUGCAUCUUAGACUGCGUAACUUGAGUGUAGUAGAGGGUAGUGGAAUUUCCGGUGUAGCGGUGAAAUGCGUAGAUAUCGGAAGGAACACCAGUGGCGAAGGCGGCUACCUGGACUAACACUGACACUGAGGCGCGAGAGCGUGGGGAGCAAACAGG
This 429-nucleotide ribosomal RNA is filed under the name uncultured bacterium. RNAcentral's name for it is "bacterial SSU rRNA". It matches the Rfam family "Bacterial small subunit ribosomal RNA", at positions 355 to 776 of the family's 1533-position model. The record is from RNAcentral.